RNAcentral lists this microRNA (20 nucleotides) under Corchorus olitorius. RNAcentral's name for it is "ath-miR50". Lineage: Eukaryota; Viridiplantae; Streptophyta; Magnoliopsida; Malvales; Malvaceae. The record is from RNAcentral.
UGACCAGAAGAAGAAGAAAA